AGCGGCGGACGGGUGAGUAACACGUGGGCAACCUGCCUGUAAGACUGGGAUAACUUCGGGAAACCGGAGCUAAUACCGGAUAACUCUUAUCAACUCAUGUUGGUAAGCUAAAAGACGGUUUACGCUGUCACUUACAGAUGGGCCCGCGGCGCAUUAGCUAGUUGGUGAGGUAACGGCUCACCAAGGCAACGAUGCGUAGCCGACCUGAGAGGGUGAUCGGCCACACUGGGACUGAGACACGGCCCAG
This 247-nucleotide ribosomal RNA is filed under the name uncultured bacterium. RNAcentral's name for it is "partial 16S ribosomal RNA". It matches the Rfam family "Bacterial small subunit ribosomal RNA", at positions 94 to 334 of the family's 1533-position model. The record is from RNAcentral.